Molecule: ribosomal RNA, 424 nt
Filed under: uncultured prokaryote
Description: bacterial SSU rRNA
Rfam family: Bacterial small subunit ribosomal RNA
Source: RNAcentral
UGGGGAAUAUUGGACAAUGGGCGCAAGCCUGAUCCAGCCAUGCCGCGUGGGUGAAGAAGGCCUUAGGGUUGUAAACCCCUUUCACCGGUGACGAUGAUGACGGUAGCCGGAGAAGAAGCCCCGGCUAACUCCGUGCCAGCAGCCGCGGUAAUACGGAGGAUGCAAGCGUUAUCCGGAAUGAUUGGGCGUAAAGCGUCUGCAGGUGGCUAUGCAAGUCUGCUGUUAAAGAGUGGAGCUCAACUCCAUAAGGGCAGUGGAAACUGCGUAACUAGAGUACGUUCGGGGUAGAGGGAAUUCCUGGUGUAGCGGUGAAAUGCGUAGAUAUCAGGAAGAACACCGGUGGCGAAAGCGCUCUACUAGGCCGUAACUGACACUGAGAGACGAAAGCUAAGGGAGCGAAUGGGAUUAGAUACCCCCGUAGUCC